This 218-nucleotide long non-coding RNA is filed under the name Solanum tuberosum (potato). RNAcentral's name for it is "long non-coding RNA (STUB_LNC001134)". The record is from RNAcentral. Lineage: Eukaryota; Viridiplantae; Streptophyta; Magnoliopsida; Solanales; Solanaceae.
CACAUACUCUCUUAUAAUUUGAAUAAUAUAUCAUGAUGCUAUAAAUCUUUUUAAUUUAACUAUUAUAUUUUUUUGAACUAAUUUUCCCUGGCAAAAAAAUUAUAAAUUAAAAUAACAUUUAUAAUUUAUAAAUAAUUGACUAUAAAAAUCUACCCAAUGUCCAUUAGCCGACUCUACCUUUCUCUCCAUAAUAUAACUUGGAAAUAGGGUCCUACAAG